Molecule: non-coding RNA, 114 nt
Organism: Acanthosepion pharaonis
Lineage: Eukaryota; Metazoa; Mollusca; Cephalopoda; Sepiida; Sepiidae
Source: the annotation of a GenBank genome assembly
UUACGGCCAAAUCAUGCUGAAACACAGGUUCCCGUACGACUAUCAAAGUUAAGCAACGUCGAACUUGGUCAGUACCUAGAUGGAUGACCGUUUGAGAAUAGCAGGUGCUGUAAG